Molecule: ribosomal RNA, 388 nt
Filed under: uncultured bacterium
Lineage: Bacteria
Description: bacterial SSU rRNA
Rfam family: Bacterial small subunit ribosomal RNA
Source: RNAcentral
AUUGAACGCUGGCGGCAUGCUUUACACAUGCAAGUCGAACGGUAACAGGUCUUCGGAUGCUGACGAGUGGCGAACGGGUGAGUAAUGUAUCGGAACGUGCCCAGUAGUGGGGGGAUAACUACUCGAAAGAGUGGCUAAUACCGCAUGAGAACUGAGGUUGAAAGCGGGGGACCUUCGGGCCUCGCGCUACUGGAGCGGCCGAUAUCAGAUUAGGUAGUUGGUGGGGUAAAGGCCUACCAAGCCGACGAUCUGUAGCUGGUCUGAGAGGACGACCAGCCACACUGGGACUGAGACACGGCCCAGACUCCUACGGGAGGCAGCAGUGGGGAAUUUUGGACAAUGGACGCAAGUCUGAUCCAGCAAUGCCGCGUGCAGGACGAAGGCCUUC